Molecule: ribosomal RNA, 877 nt
Filed under: Dinemasporium pseudodecipiens
Lineage: Eukaryota; Fungi; Ascomycota; Sordariomycetes; Chaetosphaeriales; Chaetosphaeriaceae
Description: partial large subunit ribosomal RNA
Rfam family: Eukaryotic large subunit ribosomal RNA
Source: RNAcentral
GCAUAUCAAUAAGCGGAGGAAAAGAAACCAACAGGGAUUGCCUCAGUAACGGCGAGUGAAGCGGCAACAGCUCAAAUUUGAAAUCUGGCCCCCCGGGUCCGAGUUGUAAUUUGCAGAGGAUGCUUCGGGCGCGGCGUCGACCAAGUCCCCUGGAACGGGGCGCCAUAGAGGGUGAGAGCCCCGUCGGGUCGGCCGCCAAGCCUGUGUGAAGCUCCUUCGACGAGUCGAGUAGUUUGGGAAUGCUGCUCUAAACGGGAGGUAGACCCCUUCUAAAGCUAAAUAUUGGCCAGAGACCGAUAGCGCACAAGUAGAGUGAUCGAAAGAUGAAAAGCACUUUGAAAAGAGGGUUAAACAGUACGUGAAAUUGUUGAAAGGGAAGCGCUUGUGACCAGACGUGCGCCGGGUGUUCAGCGGGCGUUCUCGCCCGUGUACUCGCCCCGGCGCAGGCCAGCGUCGGUUCGGAUGGGGGGACAAAGGCCCCGGGAAUGUGGCUCCUCCGGGAGUGUUAUAGCCCGGGGCGUCAUGCCCCCGCCCGGACCGAGGUUCGCGCUCUGCAAGGACGCUGGCGUAAUGGUCCCCAGCGGCCCGUCUUGAAACACGGACCAAGGAGUCGAGGUUUUGCGCGAGUGUUUGGGUGUCAAACCCGCACGCGUAAUGAAAGUGAACGCAGGUGGGAGCUUCGGCGCACCACCGACCGAUCCUGAUGUUCUCGGAUGGAUUUGAGUAGGAGCGUAGGGCCUCGGACCCGAAAGAUGGUGAACUAUACGUGGAUAGGGUGAAGCCAGAGGAAACUCUGGUGGAGGCUCGCAGCGGUUCUGACGUGCAAAUCGAUCGUCAAAUCUGCGUAUGGGGGCGAAAGACUAAUCGAACCCAUCUU